GAUGAACGCUGGCGGCGUGCCUAAUACAUGCAAGUCGAGCGAACAGACGAGGAGCUUGCUCCUCUGACGUUAGCGGCGGACGGGUGAGUAACACGUGGAUAACCUACCUAUAAGACUGGGAUAACUUCGGGAAACCGGAGCUAAUACCGGAUAAUAUAUUGAACCGCAUGGUUCAAUAGUGAAAGACGGUUUUGAUGUCACUUAUAGAUGGAUCCGCGCCGCAUUAGCUAGUUGGUAAGGUAACGGCUUACCAAGGCAACGAUGCGUAGCCGACCUGAGAGGGUGAUCGGCCACACUGGAACUGAGACACGGUCCAGACUCCUACGGGAGGCAGCAGUAGGGAAUCUUCCGCAAAGGGCGAAAGCCUGACGGAGCAACGCCGCGUGAGUGAUGAAGGUCUUCGGAUCGUAAAACUCUGUUAUUAGGGAAGAACAAAUGUGUAAGCAACUAUGCACGUCUUGACGGUACCUAAUCAGAAAGCCACGGCUAACUACGUG
This 497-nucleotide ribosomal RNA is filed under the name uncultured bacterium. RNAcentral describes it as "partial 16S ribosomal RNA". It matches the Rfam family "Bacterial small subunit ribosomal RNA", at positions 28 to 507 of the family's 1533-position model. The record is from RNAcentral.